CAUAAUAAAAUAAUGAACGAUCACACGUUUGAAAAAAAGUGUAACUAGAUGAAAGGAAGAUUUGUUUAUUUUCUUUUUAAAUAAUUAGACGUAAAUGUAUAAAUAAGAAAAGAUAUAUACCUGUCUUAUCCUCAGGUAUAACUCGGUAAAAUCUUCUUAUAGGUUGCUAUUUCUUCAUUUCGAAGUCCUUUUUUAUGCGAAAUACUCGAACGAAGAAUGUUGAAAGCAUUGGAUAUAUCUCAAGGUGGAAGCCGAUAAGUAAUUUCUAAACAGAAACGACUACCCAAGAAGCUUCUUUUUUCAACCAACGACGGAUAGAGCUUCUGUACUUUGUACUUUAUCUUGAGAAAGUCAAGCUGACUUGUAAUCCCGUAAUCACGAAUAUAUCCUUUAACUCGAGGAACGUCUUAUCGCAACGAAAAAGAG
Vespa crabro (European hornet) is the source of this 426-nucleotide long non-coding RNA. RefSeq lists it as uncharacterized. NCBI's taxonomy places the organism in Eukaryota, Metazoa, Arthropoda, Insecta, Hymenoptera, Vespidae. The record is from RefSeq and is a predicted model, not a curated record. The transcript is spliced from 2 exons.